Non-coding RNA from Caretta caretta (loggerhead turtle), 6680 nucleotides. The record is from RefSeq and is a predicted model, not a curated record. NCBI's taxonomy places the organism in Eukaryota, Metazoa, Chordata, Testudines, Cheloniidae.
ACUGCUUCCUGAGCUGAAACAUCCAUUGCCCCUCGUAUUCCUUCUGUAGAGCAAGUACUGAGGGAGGAUUGCAGGGCUGUAGUGAGAUUCAAAUGUUCACGUUUGAAACCCUAAAUUCCUGAGGAGGUUAUGUGAAUCGUCUAGCCACACAAGUGAUUUGCAACAUGUACCACCGGAAUAAACUUCUUGGAGGGGUUCCAACACUUGCUGGAAUAAAGCUGAUUGCAUUUGGAGACCAUUCCUUGGGCUGAGAGCUGUGGCCAAUUCCUUGCUUGACACGGCUACUGGACGGUGCACCCUCAUGUACUUUGGACAAGACUUUCAUCCAGCAGCUACUGGGUUCAUAUUGAGUUCUGGAGCACAGUAGCUUAAUUGGAGCAAGUGGAAAUCCAUGUCUGAUGAAUCCUGCUUUCAAAGCAUCAGUGAAUUUUGGCUGCCCACUGCUGUGUGCUACAGUAAUGAAACAAGCUAUUGGUUUGAGAUGAUGUCACCGUGAGCGGCCUUCUCCCCGUCCUGCCGCCACCUGUGAAUCCCAGUUCCCUGGCAGCACCACCAGUGGGGUGAAAGGAGAAAGGAGCCAUCACCACCCCGAGAACGGCUGAAAAACGAUGGACUAGACUGCAUGCAACAUAUCCCAGCCUGCUGGCAGGAUCUUUGGAGUAAAGAUUUACUGAUCAGAAGAUACUGUCGGUGUGUCCCACGUGCACAGCAUCCUGUGAUUGCAGAAGAACCUCAGACAAUAAGGGACCUUGGGCCUUUUUAUCCUCUCUUUAUAUGUUUAUGAAUCAGAAUCUUUGUGGGUGAAGAAAAUUAGCAGUGACGGGAGAUUUUAGUGCUGACUAGGAGGUCUCUGAUAUUCUGUUUGGGGAAGUUGGGGGGGCUUCACACAUUUCUACAGUGCAUUCUCAGGAAAACGUGAGCCAGAUCUGCACUGGGAAAAUGUUGGGUGCAUCUGAGGAGGUGGGAGGGGCCUUCUGCCACCUUUCCUCUAAACCCAUAGAUCCUGGGGGCACAGGUGAAUGCAGCCUUAAGGCUGCUCUAAUUUGUGCUAGAUGCAACAGGUUCCUAUGUAUGUUUCACAAGCUCAAGAUCUCCAGAGCACAAGGCUCUCCAGCCACACCCCUGGACCGCUCCCUAAACCAGGGCACUAAGAACCUGUGGCAUGUGGGGUGUUCUGGAGAUAAGUUGGUGGGAGCAAUGGAAUGAGGAGGCAUUACUUGUAUAAAGUGCCUAUUUUAUGCUAAACCAAGCAUUAAUGCAAACACUAAACAAUAUUACAAACUCUAACCAGUUCAAGUGAGUAAGUUUUGCAUAUAGACAUUCAACUAUGUACCUUGUCUCAGCGUCCUCCUGAACGCUGUUUCACCACGCUGGGAGUGCCCGUCGCUAUUUUGUUUUUCGUGGGGGUCAAAACAAAGUUCUGUGCUUUGGUGAAAAACAAAGAAUUUAGUCCAAGGUUCCUAGAAUCUAAUCUGGAAUGAGCCACAGAUUCCCUUGGUGGCCUUUGACAAAUGACAUUGCCCUAGGUCUAGUUGGAAAACAGAGUAAAGAAAGAUUUCCCUGAGGAUAAACACGCCCCCACACCCUCAUUUAAAAUGAUGGAGAACUUCUGAACAUUGCCAUGCAGUGAGCCAGAUCAGUGUGGCUUCUGGUGAAUUGGGUGCAUGCAUCUGAAUGCUAAAUUUGGCCGCCUAACUGGAUUUGGGGUACACUUUGUUGUGCUUGUAGAGCAGUAAAGAUUUAUGCUGAGGAAACUGACCUUGGAGAUUUCCUUCAGCUGAUUCAGGUGCAGAAUGUAAAGGACAGAAGUAAAAACAACCCCCCUCUACUUAAAACUAAGCUAAAUUAUUACUAAAGUUUGGAAAGCAUGGUUUGUCAUCCCCCAUCGCUAUAUAAAUGUUAUUCCUUUUAUUGGAUAGUGCAUAUAAUAUAACUCUCAUAUUGAUGAAUAGCUUAGCACAAGAGGACAGGGGAAAGAUGACUUUUUUUGCAAAAAUUUGCAUAUUGUGACUGAAUUGGCGCAGUAUGCAAAACCCCUGUACCACAUUCAAGGAUACAAGAUAUGAAAUGGAAUCAUCCUGUGUGUAAGUUUUAAUGAAAGUAAAACAUUCUGGGGAGAGAUUUGUUUUCACGUAAUUGAGGAAAAUAAUUUUAAGCUCCUCAGAAAUCCUUAAUUUCUAGCUGUUUCGGCAAAGAAACUAAAGAUUUUUAAAUAUAAUAUGAUCACACUAUAUUUGUAUGUUAAUGUGUUUGUAAGCAGUGUCAGGAUGAGCUCCACCCUGACAUCUGGUGGUGAGGUGUGGCAAGUCGUGGAAAAGAACUUCAAGGGCCAAUCUCAUUUGCAUAGGCACACCCACCCCGCCUAGAAUGAGGCCAUUGCUGCCCAAAUGGUCACUUUGGCUGCUGUGGGAUCCCCAGUGUUUCUGUUAUUGGGGCAGGAAGAAUAAAUUGUUAUUACCCUGAUUAUGGGAACUGUGCUUGGAACUGUACUUGGCCUUUUGUUAUGAUGGAGGGACUCGCCAUCAACUAAGUGGCAUUCUCUAGGCAAGGGUCAUGGGUUCCAAAACUCUGUGAAUUGAGAGUGGCUGGGGACAAGUAUUAAUACUUGGUGGCAUAGGCCCCUUGGUGAGGGCCUUACAUGCUAAUUGCACUUCCUCCUCUCUCCACUGUGGAAUAUCAGAGCUAAUUUUGAUUUCAUUAGAAGUCUAGUUACAGGCUGCUGAGCUCACUUUGGGCUAACAGUGCACCAGCACUGAGGCUCCCCUACUACAAGCUGAAUUCACCAAAGAGCUGAACUGACUAAGAGCUGAAAUCACUGAGCGUUGUGUUAAGUAGUGAGGGAGCCUGAAGAUAUAUUGUGGAGCAGUUUGCGGGACGGCUGGAGUGCCUUGUGGACAGGCUGGUGGAGCAGUUCGUAGGACGGCGGGAGCUGCUGGUGGGAUGUGGAGCAGUUUGUGGGACGGCGGGAGCUGCUUGUGGGCCGCGGAGUGGAGAAAGCUGAGCAAAGGAGUUCUUGGGGCGGCUGGCGGAGUGAAGGCCUAUGGAGCUGUGGGGCAGUCAGCUUCAGAUCAUGUAAGGUGCCUCUUACCCCCAUCCCAUCUCCACCCAGGUUGGGAGGUAAAGCUCCGCAGAUAAACUUUUGAACUCUGGGGCUGCCCUCAGGGACAGAGACUUUUGGGUCAUUGGACUUUUGGGACUUUGGGUGAUUUGGGGUUGCUGGACUCAAGAACCAAAGGGAAAGGGGCAUGCCCCAAUUUGCUUGGGGUGGGAUUUUUUUGCUCAUGGGUUGUGUUAUGAAUCCUGUUGGUGGUGUUUCCCCAACAUAAUGCCACAUUGUUUCUCUCUGUUAUUAAAAGGCUUUUUGCUACACUCAGACUAUGUGCUUGCGAGAGGGGAAGUAUUGCCUCUUGGAGGUGCCCAGCGGGGGUGGUAUAUAUUUGUCCCAGGUCACUGGGUGGGGGCUCGAGCCGGUUUGCAUUGUGUUAUUGGAAUGGAUCCCCUAGAUAUUGAACCCGGCCCUUGUUGCUGCCAACUCUGACAGGCAGAAGGGUUACAUGUUUAAUUGUUAUGGUUCAGUGCGACUGACCUACAAGCCCUGCCUGGCUUUCUUACCUCUAGUUUUAUUUAUAACACGUUUUUUUAAAUUUACUAAACAACUUUUUUUUCGCUUACCUUGUGAGUUUCUUGGUCAAGCUGUACCACAUGAGUGCAGAAAACGUUAAGCAACGACAGCUAAUUUGAGGGUGCUGUUUCUUUUCUCUUGGGCUUUGGUGCUUUCAUGGGUGAGGUCUGAUUUCAUUCACAAUUGGAGAGCGCUUGUCUCACAGAACGCCAGAGCCUGAGGAAUCUGGAAGAAGCUGAGUUCCAAGUUUCUGGCCUCUGUUCUGGGGGUGAGGCACUCGAUCUAAGUUAUUGUUUGCACACGACAACUAUCAAAAGCAGGUUCUCCACCAGUUCAGCCAAACAAAUAAGUUUGCCCGUAUCUUCUCUACUUGCCAGUUCUGCCAUCUAUGCAGCCUAUGACAUGGCUUUUGGUGGUUUUUAAAAUGCAAAAGUUAGUGACCGGGGCUGAUUUUGAGUAUAGUUGAGGUUCUCUCUGUCCCAGGUUUGCAUCCACAGGGAUGUUGUGAGAAUAAAUACACUAGAGAUUGUGAGGCCAUAGAAGUAGCACAGAUCGAAUCAGUCCAGUCUCCUUGCCCCGUCCAUUCCUUGGCCUCCCUAUUAAGACUUCCAGUGAGGGACUAAGAAGUUUCAUUCAGUGUGGUGAGUUUGUGAUGUUGACCCUCGUCUGCAGAACUUGAACAAAGACCCACCAGCUGUGUGGUCCCAGACCAAACAGAUGGGAACACAUCUCUCCCUGACGGUGUCUAGUUGGAUCCUGUGACCCUUGGCACGUUAUUGCUUAGGCGUGAAAAUAAAAAAUGGAGCUCUGUGACGCCCUUUCCUGACUGCAACAAUGCCUUUCUUUGGGGUGCUGGAUAAUACUCAGCACAAGUGGGAUUGGUAUUCAUGUCGCUGAAUGGGCCUUGGAAGUACUUUACCUCUGUGUUGGCCAGGCAAGGACUGUACAUCAGCAAUCGCAGGCAUAAUUAUAUUAUUCUCAGCCUGCCAAGAACGGCAGCUUUUUUGAGGUCUGUGGCUCUGGUGGUUACAAGCUGGUAUGCGGUAUUUACAAGGAGCUGUCUGACUGGGAGCCAAGUUGACAAGCCUUUCGUCAACAGGCUACACCAUCGGUUUAUAACGAUGGUGGAAUGUACAUUGCCACAGUUGCUGCCGUAAUUUGGGAAGUGUCCAUGUGUCUGAAUAAUAGAAACAGCAUUUAUCUGUCUCAUCAGCACUUUUAAUCCACCACUGCGCAUCGCAGUUAGCUGUGAUUUUCCAUUUCCAAAUGGAAAUUACCGAACACACUGGAGUUAUUUUCUGAAGUGGGAUAAAUUUAACAUAAGUACUUCCUGAUCCUAUGAGGUGCUGAGGCCCUUUGGUUCCCUUGAGGACACUCAGUCCUGUGGAGGACCGAGGGUUUUUUCUCUCUCAAGGGCUGUGCCCAGCUGUAGCACUGUGUACAUAAUGUAACAGUCAAGCUAUUAAUGUAAACUCUUUCAUGCUAUUGUUUUAAACUAUAUGUUGGGUGGCGUGGGGAUGAGAGCAAAUUGUGGCUGAUUUGCCGCUGUGACUGAGAUCCACUCGGUAUAGCAGAAGGGAGGGGAUGUAACAGGACUGAUUAUGGGUCCCUGGAUUAGCCCUGGCCCUGUGUAAACUGGUGCAGGCUGAGAGCUUCUCUAGCAUACAUAAAUUGGCAAAAAUAUCUUUCCCAGCUGAGGACAGUUAGGGGACCGGAGGGAGAGAUCACAGCUAGAGAACUGCUACACUCUAUGUUGGGCUGGGGGAUAGACUGUGUAAGGAGUUGACUAUCUUGCCUUUUUCUUCUUUCUUCCCCUCCCUAUGCUCUCCCUCCUCCCCCUCGAGGGAGUUCUCAGCUGUCUGGAUAUGACCCCUUAGAUACGAAAGGGCUGGAAUGGAGGAGGGAAGCUGGUUACUUGUUUUAUUCUCUAACUAUAAUGUUCAUCUGGGACAUACUCAGCUUACAGGUCAAAGGAUAAUGUUUCUAACAGCCAGGCCUGAGAACUCCACCUGGGAUCUGAAAGUUAAGCUGGGUUCGUCUCACCUUUGAUGAGAUCCCCGGUUUAAAAAAAAAGAAAAAAAGAUGUGGGUGAAACUUUGCUGGUAAUUCUGUGUAUGCGUCACGAGGGCAGAAUUGAAUCCCAUAGAUGCAUUAGCUCUGCAGAGCUGAAGCAUAAAAUUAUUAUUUAAUAUUGGUAUUACUCUAGCAUCUUGGAGCUAGUAUGCGGUAGUCAUGGACCAGAACCUUACUAUGCUAGUGGGUAGUUUUUGUUUUACAAAGAUUAUCACAUCUGUUGUGUAAAGACGUGCCCUUUAACACAGUCAUUGUUCUUACUAAAAAUAACACCUUUAAAAAAUGCCUGACAUCCUGUAGUCUCUAAAGUGUGUCUUUAAACAAAUGAUCUCCAUUAACACACUGCUCCAGCUGUUAGAUUAAUUUCUUUUUAAAAGUGGGACACUGUAAUUCCUUGCAAUGCUUAAUGUAGGAAUGAAAUUCCUGGAAAUAGUAAAGCAUGUGUACUUUGACCAACCUCUGUAAAAAUCCACUUAUUUCCUUAUGGUUGGUGAGCCAGAUCUUAUACUGAUUUGGGUUGCCAGGGGUAUAAAUCAAUGGUUCUUUGCCAGUGCACAGUUGUUUUACAGCAGUAACAAUUGAGACCCUGAUCCUGCAAUUGACUGUAUAUGGCACACCCCUAUUGAAGCCAGGAGAGCUUUGAAUGGAUGCUCUGACCCAGGAUCAGAACCUAAAUUUGUAAUUCUACCAAUCUCAUAUCAUACACACGCCUAAAACUGUAUUGUAUCUGGCACAUCCUACACUCUAUAAAGUGUUGCCCGGGUGUAUGCUUGCAAGUCAAGGUCUCCGCUCUACACAACACUCAGGCAAACCAUCAAUCACUAUAUUCUAACUUUUGUGUUGAGUUUCUUUCAGAGGUGGUAGUCUACAAGCCCAGGCAAAUCAGAUACCCGGGCUGAAGAUCUAACAUGUGAAAAGACCAGGGUCUUUAAAGUGAGUCCGGCCUGUCUACUUAACUUCAUGAUUUGGAUGUAAUAGAAGGAGU